ACUUAAAUUGAAGAGUUUGAUCAUGGCUCAGAUUGAACGCUGGCGGCAGGCCUAACACAUGCAAGUCGAGCGGUAGCACAGAGAGCUUGCUCUCGGGUGACGAGCGGCGGACGGGUGAGUAAUGUCUGGGAAACUGCCUGAUGGAGGGGGAUAACUACUGGAAACGGUAGCUAAUACCGCAUAACGUCGCAAGACCAAAGUGGGGGACCUUCGGGCCUCAUGCCAUCAGAUGUGCCCAGAUGGGAUUAGCUAGUAGGUGGGGUAACGGCUCACCUAGGCGACGAUCCCUAGCUGGUCUGAGAGGAUGACCAGCCACACUGGAACUGAGACACGGUCCAGACUCCUACGGGAGGCAGCAGUGGGGAAUAUUGCACAAUGGGCGCAAGCCUGAUGCAGCCAUGCCGCGUGUGUGAAGAAGGCCUUCGGGUUGUAAAGCACUUUCAGCGGGGAGGAAGGCGUUAAGGUUAAUAACCUUGGCGAUUGACGUUACCCGCAGAAGAAGCACCGGCUAACUCCGUGCCAGCAGCCGCGGUAAUACGGAGGGUGCAAGCGUUAAUCGGAAUUACUGGGCGUAAAGCGCACGCAGGCGGUCUGUCAAGUCGGAUGUGAAAUCCCCGGGCUCAACCUGGGAACUGCAUUCGAAACUGGCAGGCUAGAGUCUUGUAGAGGGGGGUAGAAUUCCAGGUGUAGCGGUGAAAUGCGUAGAGAUCUGGAGGAAUACCGGUGGCGAAGGCGGCCCCCUGGACAAAGACUGACGCUCAGGUGCGAAAGCGUGGGGAGCAAACAGGAUUAGAUACCCUGGUAGUCCACGCCGUAAACGAUGUCGAUUUGGAGGUUGUGCCCUUGAGGCGUGGCUUCCGGAGCUAACGCGUUAAAUCGACCGCCUGGGGAGUACGGCCGCAAGGUUAAAACUCAAAUGAAUUGACGGGGGCCCGCACAAGCGGUGGAGCAUGUGGUUUAAUUCGAUGCAACGCGAAGAACCUUACCUGGUCUUGACAUCCACAGAACUUAGCAGAGAUGCUUUGGUGCCUUCGGGAACUGUGAGACAGGUGCUGCAUGGCUGUCGUCAGCUCGUGUUGUGAAAUGUUGGGUUAAGUCCCGCAACGAGCGCAACCCUUAUCCUUUGUUGCCAGCGGUCCGGCCGGGAACUCAAAGGAGACUGCCAGUGAUAAACUGGAGGAAGGUGGGGAUGACGUCAAGUCAUCAUGGCCCUUACGACCAGGGCUACACACGUGCUACAAUGGCAUAUACAAAGAGAAGCGACCUCGCGAGAGCAAGCGGACCUCAUAAAGUAUGUCGUAGUCCGGAUUGGAGUCUGCAACUCGACUCCAUGAAGUCGGAAUCGCUAGUAAUCGUAGAUCAGAAUGCUACGGUGAAUACGUUCCCGGGCCUUGUACACACCGCCCGUCACACCAUGGGAGUGGGUUGCAAAAGAAGUAGGUAGCUUAACCUUCGGGAGGGCGCUUACCACUUUGUGAUUCAUGACUGGGGUGAAGUCGUAACAAGGUAACCGUAGGGGAACCUGCGGUUGGAUCACCUCCUUACCUUAAAGAA
RNAcentral lists this ribosomal RNA (1554 nucleotides) under Klebsiella pneumoniae. RNAcentral describes it as "bacterial SSU rRNA". It matches the Rfam family "Bacterial small subunit ribosomal RNA". Lineage: Bacteria; Pseudomonadati; Pseudomonadota; Gammaproteobacteria; Enterobacterales; Enterobacteriaceae. The record is from RNAcentral. RNAcentral also lists the same sequence under 1 other name.